AUGUACAAGUGUAAAGUGCACGAGAAGUUUUGAUUUUCUUAGGGCUGGUGUGAUUCCGGUGUUCAUAAG
This 69-nucleotide transfer RNA is filed under the name Euastacus yarraensis (Yarra cray). RNAcentral describes it as "tRNA-Gln". The record is from RNAcentral. Lineage: Eukaryota; Metazoa; Arthropoda; Malacostraca; Decapoda; Parastacidae.